RNAcentral lists this ribosomal RNA (389 nucleotides) under uncultured bacterium. RNAcentral's name for it is "bacterial SSU rRNA". It matches the Rfam family "Bacterial small subunit ribosomal RNA", at positions 30 to 417 of the family's 1533-position model. The record is from RNAcentral.
AUUGAACGCUGGCGGCAUGCCUUACACAUGCAAGUCGAACGGCAGCACGGGAGCUUGCUCCUGGUGGCGAGUGGCGAACGGGUGAGUAAUACAUCGGAACGUACCCUGAAGUGGGGGAUAACGUAGCGAAAGUUACGCUAAUACCGCAUAUUCUGUGAGCAGGAAAGAGGGGGAUCGCAAGACCUCUUGCUUUAGGAGCGGCCGAUGUCGGAUUAGCUAGUUGGUGAGGUAAAGGCUCACCAAGGCGACGAUCCGUAGCGGGUCUGAGAGGAUGAUCCGCCACACUGGGACUGAGACACGGCCCAGACUCCUACGGGAGGCAGCAGUGGGGAAUUUUGGACAAUGGGCGCAAGCCUGUUCCAGCCAUGCCGCGUGAGUGAAGAAGGCCU